This 253-nucleotide ribosomal RNA is filed under the name uncultured bacterium. RNAcentral describes it as "partial 16S ribosomal RNA". It matches the Rfam family "Bacterial small subunit ribosomal RNA", at positions 524 to 776 of the family's 1533-position model. The record is from RNAcentral.
UACGUAGGGAGCAAGCGUUAUCCGGAAUUAUUGGGUGUAAAGGGUGCGUAGACGGGAUAACAAGUUGGUUGUGAAACCCCUCGGCUCAACUGAGGAACUGCAACCAAAACUAUUAUUCUUGAGUGCAGGAGAGGAAAGUGGAAUUCCUAGUGUAGCGGUGAAAUGCGUAGAUAUAUGGAAGAACACCAGUGGCGAAAGCGGCUCUCUGGUCUGUAACUGACGCUGAGGUUCGAAAGCGUGGGUAGCAAACAGG